This 497-nucleotide ribosomal RNA is filed under the name uncultured bacterium. Its description in RNAcentral is "partial 16S ribosomal RNA". It matches the Rfam family "Bacterial small subunit ribosomal RNA", at positions 28 to 507 of the family's 1533-position model. The record is from RNAcentral.
GAUGAACGCUGGCGGCGUGCCUAAUACAUGCAAGUCGAGCGAACAGAUGAGGAGCUUGCUCCUCUGACGUUAGCGGCGGACGGGUGAGUAACACGUGGAUAACCUACCUAUAAGACUGGGAUAACUUCGGGAAACCGGAGCUAAUACCGGAUAAUAUAUUGAACCGCAUGGUUCAAUAGUGAAAGACGGUUUUGCUGUCACUUAUAGAUGGAUCCGCGCCGCAUUAGCUAGUUGGCAAGGUAACGGCUUACCAAGGCAACGAUGCGUAGCCGACCUGAGAGGGUGAUCGGCCACACUGGAACUGAGACACGGUCCAGACUCCUACGGGAGGCAGCAGUAGGGAAUCUUCCGCAAAGGGCGAAAGCCUGACGGAGCAACGCCGCGUGAGUGAUGAAGGUCUUCGGAUCGUAAAACUCUGUUAUUAGGGAAGAACAAAUGUGUAAGUAACUAUGCACGUCUUGACGGUACCUAAUCAGAAAGCCACGGCUAACUACGUG